This 253-nucleotide ribosomal RNA is filed under the name uncultured bacterium. RNAcentral's name for it is "partial 16S ribosomal RNA". It matches the Rfam family "Bacterial small subunit ribosomal RNA", at positions 524 to 776 of the family's 1533-position model. The record is from RNAcentral.
UACGAAGGGGGCUAGCGUUGCUCGGAAUCACUGGGCGUAAAGGGUGCGUAGGCGUGUCUUUAAGUCAGGGGUGAAAUCCUGGAGCUCAACUCCAGAACUGCCUUUGAUACUGAAGAUCUUGAGUUCGGGAGAGGUGAGUGGAACUGCGAGUGUAGAGGUGAAAUUCGUAGAUAUUCGCAAGAACACCAGUGGCGAAGGCGGCUCACUGGCCCGGUACUGACGCUGAGGUGCGAAAGCGUGGGGAGCAAACAGG